CUCUAAUAGUCAUUGGUAAAAAAAUUAUUAGCGAUAAAAUUAUUGCCGUCGGUAAUGUCGUCAUUAAUAUUCUUUAUUAGCGACGACUAAAAUACCGUUGCUAAUGACCAUCGCUAAUACCUUAUUUUUUUAUAGUGUACUUAUUGGUUGAAUUUGUAUCUUUCAUACAAUAUUUAAUUAUUUUUAUCUAGUUAGUCUGAG
Molecule: long non-coding RNA, 201 nt
Filed under: Elaeis guineensis (African oil palm)
Lineage: Eukaryota; Viridiplantae; Streptophyta; Magnoliopsida; Arecales; Arecaceae
Description: long non-coding RNA (EGUI_LNC043556)
Source: RNAcentral